This 394-nucleotide long non-coding RNA is filed under the name Rattus norvegicus (Norway rat). Its description in RNAcentral is "long non-coding RNA NONRATT024531". Lineage: Eukaryota; Metazoa; Chordata; Mammalia; Rodentia; Muridae. The record is from RNAcentral.
CUGAGAGGUUGGGACUGGGAGCACCGAGAAAGCAGAGUAAUCCAUAUGCAAAGACUACCUGUGAUCCAGCUUCCAGCCCUCUUAGACAUGGAGAGGAAAGUCCCAUCGAGAGAGAGCCCCAGAAGACUCUCUGCCAAGCCAGGCCGAGGCACGGAGAUGAAAAAACUAGCCCGACCACUUGGUGUGGUGGCUGCUGACUCAGACAAGGACUCCGGCUUUUCAGAUGGGAGCUCAGAAUGUCUGAGCUCUGCCGAGCAGAUGGAGUCAGAGGACGUGGUGAGCGCCCUGGGCUGGAGCAGAGAGGACAAGCUGAGGCAGAACGCCAGAGCGGCAAACCACGCCUUCCCCACACUGUCCCCUAUGGUUGUCAUGAAGAACGUGCUGGUCAAGCAGG